GACCUUAUUUCAAAACAGAGGGAAAUACUUGGUGUACAGGGAUCCUAGCUCUCUUCCGACAAGACUUCAACAAUGAAUUUACAGGCCCUCUGUCCAACCAGAGCCACUCCCUUCUGUCCAUGCCCAUGAAACCCAGCAAGAAGCUCCCAGGGAAUGUUUCGAGUAUUCCAAGUGUUCCUCCAUUCUCCCAAAGCCUUCCUUUCUGGGAUCCGCACAGAGGUACCGGGGAUGGAACUCGGGUCCCUGUGCUUGCGCAACAGGCAGCAAAACCACUGAGCUAAAUCCCCAGCCCCAUGAAAUAAUUACAUUCAUCGCCUUGGGGAGCUGGUACAUGCACAUAGCACAUCUGAAUUCUUUUUACAGGCCCCUUCUUCCAC
Molecule: long non-coding RNA, 377 nt
Organism: Heterocephalus glaber (naked mole-rat)
Lineage: Eukaryota; Metazoa; Chordata; Mammalia; Rodentia; Bathyergidae
Source: Ensembl